RNAcentral lists this ribosomal RNA (463 nucleotides) under uncultured Desulfobulbus sp. RNAcentral describes it as "bacterial SSU rRNA". It matches the Rfam family "Bacterial small subunit ribosomal RNA", at positions 925 to 1382 of the family's 1533-position model. The record is from RNAcentral. Lineage: Bacteria; Pseudomonadati; Thermodesulfobacteriota; Desulfobulbia; Desulfobulbales; Desulfobulbaceae.
ACAAGCGGUGGAGUAUGUGGUUAAUUCGAUGCAACGCGAAGAACCUUACCUGGUCUUGACAUCCCGGAGACCCUUAGGAAACUAGGGGGUGCUUCCAUCUGGAAGAAUCUGGAGACAGGUGCUGCAUGGCUGUCGUCAGCUCGUGUCGUGAGAUGUUGGGGUUAAGUCCCGCAACGAGCGCAACCCUUGCCUUUAGUUGCCAGCAGUUCGGCUGGGCACUCUAAAGGGACUGCCGGUGUUAAACCGGAGGAAGGUGGGGAUGACGUCAAGUCCUCAUGGCCUUUAUGACCAGGGCUACACACGUACUACAAUGGCCGAUACAAAGGGCAGCGACACUGCGAGGUGAAGCCAAUCCCGUAAAAUCGGUCUCAGUCCGGAUUGGAGUCUGCAACUCGACUCCAUGAAGUUGGAAUCGCUAGUAAUCGUGGAUCAGCAUGCCACGGUGAAUACGUUCCCGGGCCUU